This 1380-nucleotide ribosomal RNA is filed under the name Nocardia cyriacigeorgica. RNAcentral describes it as "bacterial SSU rRNA". It matches the Rfam family "Bacterial small subunit ribosomal RNA". Lineage: Bacteria; Bacillati; Actinomycetota; Actinomycetes; Mycobacteriales; Nocardiaceae. The record is from RNAcentral.
AAGUCGAGCGGUAAGGCCCUUCGGGGUACACGAGCGGCGAACGGGUGAGUAACACGUGGGUGAUCUGCCUCGCACUCUGGGAUAAGCCUGGGAAACUGGGUCUAAUACCGGAUAUGACCUUACAUCGCAUGGUGUUUGGUGGAAAGAUUUAUCGGUGCGAGAUGGGCCCGCGGCCUAUCAGCUUGUUGGUGGGGUAAUGGCCUACCAAGGCGACGACGGGUAGCCGGCCUGAGAGGGCGACCGGCCACACUGGGACUGAGACACGGCCCAGACUCCUACGGGAGGCAGCAGUGGGGAAUAUUGCACAAUGGGCGAAAGCCUGAUGCAGCGACGCCGCGUGAGGGAUGACGGCCUUCGGGUUGUAAACCUCUUUCGACAGGGACGAAGCGCAAGUGACGGUACCUGUAGAAGAAGCACCGGCCAACUACGUGCCAGCAGCCGCGGUAAUACGUAGGGUGCGAGCGUUGUCCGGAAUUACUGGGCGUAAAGAGCUUGUAGGCGGCUUGUCGCGUCGAUCGUGAAAACUUGGGGCUCAACCCCAAGCUUGCGGUCGAUACGGGCAGGCUUGAGUACUUCAGGGGAGACUGGAAUUCCUGGUGUAGCGGUGAAAUGCGCAGAUAUCAGGAGGAACACCGGUGGCGAAGGCGGGUCUCUGGGAAGUAACUGACGCUGAGAAGCGAAAGCGUGGGUAGCGAACAGGAUUAGAUACCCUGGUAGUCCACGCCGUAAACGGUGGGUACUAGGUGUGGGUUUCCUUCCACGGGAUCCGUGCCGUAGCUAACGCAUUAAGUACCCCGCCUGGGGAGUACGGCCGCAAGGCUAAAACUCAAAGGAAUUGACGGGGGCCCGCACAAGCGGCGGAGCAUGUGGAUUAAUUCGAUGCAACGCGAAGAACCUUACCUGGGUUUGACAUACACCGGAAACCUGCAGAGAUGUAGGCCCCCUUGUGGUCGGUGUACAGGUGGUGCAUGGCUGUCGUCAGCUCGUGUCGUGAGAUGUUGGGUUAAGUCCCGCAACGAGCGCAACCCUUAUCUUAUGUUGCCAGCGCGUAAUGGCGGGGACUCGUGAGAGACUGCCGGGGUCAACUCGGAGGAAGGUGGGGACGACGUCAAGUCAUCAUGCCCCUUAUGUCCAGGGCUUCACACAUGCUACAAUGGCCGGUACAGAGGGCUGCGAUACCGUGAGGUGGAGCGAAUCCCUUAAAGCCGGUCUCAGUUCGGAUCGGGGUCUGCAACUCGACCCCGUGAAGUUGGAGUCGCUAGUAAUCGCAGAUCAGCAACGCUGCGGUGAAUACGUUCCCGGGCCUUGUACACACCGCCCGUCACGUCAUGAAAGUCGGUAACACCCGAAGCCGGUGGCCUAACCCCUUGUGGGAGGGAG